This 468-nucleotide ribosomal RNA is filed under the name uncultured bacterium. Its description in RNAcentral is "partial 16S ribosomal RNA". It matches the Rfam family "Bacterial small subunit ribosomal RNA", at positions 28 to 507 of the family's 1533-position model. The record is from RNAcentral.
GACGAACGCUGGCGGCGUGCUUAACACAUGCAAGUCGAACGGAAAGGCCCUGCUUUUGUGGGGUGCUCGAGUGGCGAACGGGUGAGUAACACGUGAGUAACCUGCCCUUGACUUUGGGAUAACUUCAGGAAACUGGGGCUAAUACCGGAUAGGAGCUCCUGCUGCAUGGUGGGGGUUGGAAAGUUUCGGCGGUUGGGGAUGGACUCGCGGCUUAUCAGCUUGUUGGUGGGGUAGGGGCUUACCAAGGCUUUGACGGGUAGCCGGCCUGAGAGUGUGACCGGCCACAAUGGGACUGAGAUACGGCCCAGACUGCUACGGGAGGCAGCAGUGGGGAAUAUUGCACAAUGGGCGGAAGCCUGAUGCAGCAACGCCGCGUGCGGGAUGACGGCCUUCGGGUUGUAAACCGCUGUCGCCUGUGACGAAGCGUGAGUGACGGUAAUGGGUAAAGAAGCACCGGCUAACUACGUG